GCCCCAGUGGUGUAGUGGUAGCACGCGUCCUCGAUGAGGAUGGAACAUGUGUUCGAUUCCCGCCUGAGGCC
Non-coding RNA from Parelaphostrongylus tenuis, 71 nucleotides. NCBI's taxonomy places the organism in Eukaryota, Metazoa, Nematoda, Chromadorea, Rhabditida, Metastrongylidae. The record is from the annotation of a GenBank genome assembly.